UUUUAUUUUGGGGGAAAGGGGGGGAUGACGUAAAAUCAUCAUGCCCCCUUAUGCUCGGGGUUACACACGUGUUAAAAUGGGGCAACCAAAGAGAAAGGGACCUCGCGAGAGCAACAAAUCUUCAAAAAAACGUUCCAGUUCCGGAUUCAGGUUGCAACCCGCCUACCAGAAAUUGGGAAUGCUUGUUAUUGCGGGUCAGAAUUGCGCGGUGAAUACGUUCCCGGGCCUUGUACACCCCCCCCGUCCCCCCCUGGGAGUCGGGAACCCCCGAAGCCGGUGAGCUAACCGCAAGGAGGCAGCCGCCGAAGGCAUAAUUGAUGACUGGGGGAAGUCGAACAAGAGCCAGGG
This 348-nucleotide ribosomal RNA is filed under the name Oxalobacter formigenes. RNAcentral describes it as "partial 16S ribosomal RNA". It matches the Rfam family "Bacterial small subunit ribosomal RNA", at positions 1155 to 1503 of the family's 1533-position model. Lineage: Bacteria; Pseudomonadati; Pseudomonadota; Betaproteobacteria; Burkholderiales; Oxalobacteraceae. The record is from RNAcentral.